Schizosaccharomyces pombe (fission yeast) is the source of this 198-nucleotide non-coding RNA. The record is from the annotation of a GenBank genome assembly. Lineage: Eukaryota; Fungi; Ascomycota; Schizosaccharomycetes; Schizosaccharomycetales; Schizosaccharomycetaceae.
AAUUACCAUAUAAUUUACUAUUGUUGAAAAACAUUGUCUACGGCCAUACCUAGGCGAAAACACCAGUUCCCGUCCGAUCACUGCAGUUAAGCGUCUGAGGGCCUCGUUAGUACUAUGGUUGGAGACAACAUGGGAAUCCGGGGUGCUGUAGGCUCCUUCUCUUAUUAUUGCUAUUUUAUUUUUUUAAUUUUAUUGUUU